GGCGGACGGGUGAGUAACACGUGGAUAACCUACCUAUAAGACUGGGAUAACUUCGGGAAACCGGAGCUAAUACCGGAUAAUAUUUUGAACCGCAUGGUUCAAAAGUGAAAGACGGUCUUGCUGUCACUUAUAGAUGGAUCCGCGCUGCAUUAGCUAGUUGGUAAGGUAACGGCUUACCAAGGCAACGAUGCAUAGCCCACCUGAGAGGGUGAUCGGCCACACUGGAACUGAGACACGGUCCAGACUCCUACGGGAGGCAGCAGUAGGGAAUCUUCCGCAAUGGGCGAAAGCCUGACGGAGCAACGCCGCGUGAGUGAUGAAGGUCUUCGGAUCGUAAAACUCUGUUAUUAGGGAAGAACAUAUGUGUAAGUAACUGUGCACAUCUUGACGGUACCUAAUCAGAAAGCCACGGCUAACUACGUGCCAGCAGCCGCGGUAAUACGUAGGUGGCAAGCGUUAUCCGGAAUUAUUGGGCGUAAAGCGCGCGUAGGCGGUUUUUUAAGUCUGAUGUGAAAGCCCACGGCUCAACCGUGGAGGGUCAUUGGAAACUGGAAAACUUGAGUGCAGAAGAGGAAAGUGGAAUUCCAUGUGUAGCGGUGAAAUGCGCAGAGAUAUGGAGGAACACCAGUGGCGAAGGCGACUUUCUGGUCUGUAACUGACGCUGAUGUGCGAAAGCGUGGGGAUCAAACAGGAUUAGAUACCCUGGUAGUCCACGCCGUAAACGAUGAGUGCUAAGUGUUAGGGGGUUUCCGCCCCUUAGUGCUGCAGCUAACGCAUUAAGCACUCCGCCUGGGGAGUACGACCGCAAGGUUGAAACUCAAAGGAAUUGACGGGGACCCGCACAAGCGGUGGAGCAUGUGGUUUAAUUCGAAGCAACGCGAAGAACCUUACCAAAUCUUGACAUCCUUUGACAACUCUAGAGAUAGAGCUUUCCCCUUCGGGGGACAAAGUGACAGGUGGUGCAUGGUUGUCGUCAGCUCGUGUCGUGAGAUGUUGGGUUAAGUCCCGCAACGAGCGCAACCCUUAAGCUUAGUUGCCAUCAUUAAGUUG
Molecule: ribosomal RNA, 1050 nt
Filed under: Staphylococcus aureus
Lineage: Bacteria; Bacillati; Bacillota; Bacilli; Caryophanales; Staphylococcaceae
Description: bacterial SSU rRNA
Rfam family: Bacterial small subunit ribosomal RNA
Source: RNAcentral